GACGAACGCUGGCGGCGUGCUUAACACAUGCAAGUCGAGCGGUAAGGCCCUUUCGGGGUACACGAGCGGCGAACGGGUGAGUAACACGUGGGUGACCUGCCCUCAGCUCUGGGAUAAGCCCGGGAAAUUGGGUCUAAUACUGGAUAUGACUCCAUGACGCAUGUUGUGGGGUGGAAAGCCUUGUGCGGCUGAGGAUGGGCCCGCGGCCUAUCAGCUUGUUGGCGGGGAACGGCCCACCAAGGCUAUGACGGGUAGCUGGUCUGAGAGGACGACCAGUCACACUGGAACUGAGACACGGUCCAGACACCUACGGGUGGCAGCAGUCGAGUAAUUUUUCNCAAUGGGGGAAACCCUGAAGGAGCGACG
This 366-nucleotide ribosomal RNA is filed under the name uncultured bacterium. RNAcentral describes it as "bacterial SSU rRNA". It matches the Rfam family "Bacterial small subunit ribosomal RNA", at positions 28 to 396 of the family's 1533-position model. The record is from RNAcentral.